CAUUGUUUGACCACGCCUAUUCUUUAGCAAAAUUCAAGUCCCCUUCCAUAAUUUUAAACUCACCUUAUGAAUGUGGCUUCAAUCUCUGGACAAGAAGGAGGGUGUGUCUGAGAGGGCAUUGCCAGAGGAGAUUCACAUCUGAGUCAGUGCACUGGGAGCAGCAGACCCACCCUCAAUCUGGGGGGGCACCAUCCAAUCGGCUGCCAGCCCAGCUAGGAAAAGUAGGCCAAAGAAAACGGAAUGAGUCAACUUGCUGAGUCGUCCAGGCCUUCAUCUUUCUUCUGUGCUGGAUGCUUCCCUGCUCUUGAACAUCAAGACUUCAGGUUUUGGGACUCAGACUGAGCCACUGCUGGCUUCCUUGCUCCUCAGCUUGCAGAUGCCUAUUGUGGGACUUCACCUUACAGUCAUACCCGAUGUGAAGCCUGACUGAGCAGAGUGGAGACCAGCAGCUGCACGUCAAGUGGCCUUCCCAGGACUUGACUCCAUAUGCAUGUUCUCGUCCAUGGGCUCAUACCCAGUCCAAAGGACUUUACCCCAGCUCCAUCUUUGCCCAGACACACUUGAGGCUGCAGGGUUUUGCUUCCCAAGGCCCUCACCAGAAUCAGAUGCUGGCACCAUGCUUCCUGUACAGCUUAUAAAACCGUGAGCCAAUUAAAUCUCUUUUCCUUAUAAAUUGCCAAGCCUCAGGUAUUCAUUUAUAGCAAUGGAAAUGGACCAACAGAGGUAGUCUGCUUUAUAAUGGGUCAGAACGUGAAUCACAUGAGGAUACGAUAGUGCUUGUUAUUCCUGAAUUUUCCACAUCAUACAAUUCACCUUCUGGGCUCCAUAUAGGGGAAGUGAUUCUGGAAAACGUGGUUCCCACUUCAGAAGGAACAGUGGUGUUGGGGACACGUUGACAACAGAAAGUCUAGCACAGUCCACCCCAUUCAAAAAUAAGCAUCUGUAGACAUUUUCAACUUCCAAAUAAAAGCAGCAACAAUACUAUUUUCCACCUAAUGUGAUGCAACUAUUCAUUUUACAACCCAAAGACCUUUAAUCUUCUCUAUGGAAGAGAUAUUUGAAAAUGCUAGUCCGUCUCCCAGAUGACUAACAACCCCUUUUGCUCUUUCAUGCUAUAAAUACCAAGGAUCAACCAAUAUAAACCUAUAUUACAUAGAGGGGUAUGAAGGCACUGAGACAAAAAGCAGAGGACUCAGUUAAUACAGAAACUAUAUUCACAUCAGCUGGGCAUGGUGGCACAUGUCUGUAGAGCUACUCAGAGGGCUGAGGUGGUAGGAUUGCAUGAACCUGGAAAGUGAAGGUUACAGUGAGCCAAGAUCGCACCACUGCACUCCAGUCUACAUGACAGAGCGAGACCUUGUCUGAAAAAAAAUAUAUAUAUAUACACAUCAAAGUGAGGAAGAUUAUAUAAAUAUCUAACUUAGUCCUUGUUUCAGCAGCUGGCCUUGAGGCUAAAGCUGGCAUUUAAAAAUUUCCUCUUUCAAGUUAGACACAGUGGCACAUGCCUGUAAUCCCAGCUACUCAGGUGGCUGAGGUGGGAGGCUCAUUUGAGUUCCGGAGUUCAAGACCAGCCUGGGGAACGUAACAGAACUCCACCUGAAAAAAAAUUUCUUCCACUAUCCAUUCCAUAAUCCCUAUGCUCUCAGCAAACACCUCAACUGGCUGUGAUUUUUUAACCUGGUGAAGUUACUCACGUCUUCAUGAAGUAUACAUUCCCUCAGGAGUCCUUCCUGUAAUGGAUUAUUAUCAUUUUCCCAUGUUUUACAAUGGGACGUGGGAGUUCUAAGAGGCAUCCCACAGAAUGCCUUGUGUGAGUGGUAUAGUUAUACUCUCUUCUGCCGAUUGUGUAGUAACUACCCAAUUCCCCCCUUGAUAAUCAGGACAAUUUGCCACUUUUUACUAUCAGGCUUUACACGAUUUCUUCUACCUUAGACUAUAUAACCAUUCAGUUACAUCCAGGUUAAUGGCUUCCACUUCCAAAGUCCGUAUCUCUGGAGUCAACAGCAAGAACACUUCCUGCCA
RNAcentral lists this long non-coding RNA (2022 nucleotides) under Homo sapiens (human). RNAcentral's name for it is "HSALNT0260799". The record is from RNAcentral. Lineage: Eukaryota; Metazoa; Chordata; Mammalia; Primates; Hominidae.